RNAcentral lists this ribosomal RNA (26 nucleotides) under Trichoderma brevicompactum. RNAcentral describes it as "partial 18S ribosomal RNA". The record is from RNAcentral. Lineage: Eukaryota; Fungi; Ascomycota; Sordariomycetes; Hypocreales; Hypocreaceae.
CUCGGUUUGGUCGCGGAGGACAUUAC